UACGUAGGGUGCAAGCGUUGUCCGGAAUUAUUGGGCGUAAAGAGCUCGUAGGCGGUUUGUCGCGUCGAAUGUGAAAACCCGGGGCUCAACCCCGGGCCUGCAUUCGAUACGGGCAGACUAGAGUUCGGUAGGGGAGUCUGGAAUUCCUGGUGUAGCGGUGAAAUGCGCAGAUAUCAGGAGGAACACCGGUGGCGAAGGCGGGACUCUGGGCCGAUACUGACGCUGGAGGAGCGAAAGCGUGGGGAGCGAACAGG
Molecule: ribosomal RNA, 254 nt
Filed under: uncultured bacterium
Lineage: Bacteria
Description: partial 16S ribosomal RNA
Rfam family: Bacterial small subunit ribosomal RNA
Source: RNAcentral